CCUACGGGUGUCAGCAGUGAGGAAUAUUGGUCAAUGGGCGGAAGCCUGAACCAGCCAAGUCGCGUGAGGGAAUAAGGCCCUACGGGUCGUAAACCUCUUUUGCCGGGGAGCAAGGGCGGGGACGUGUCCCGGCCCGGAGAGUACCCGGAGAAAAAGCAUCGGCUAACUCCGUGCCAGCAGCCGCGGUAAUACGGAGGAUGCGAGCGUUGUCCGGAUUUACUGGGUGUAAAGGGUGCGUAGGCGGCUUUGCAAGUCAGAAGUGAAAUCCAUGGGCUUAACCCAUGAACUGCUUUUGAAACUGCAGAGCUUGAGUGGAGUAGAGGUAGGCGGAAUUCCCGGUGUAGCGGUGAAAUGCGUAGAGAUCGGGAGGAACACCAGUGGCGAAGGCGGCCUACUGGGCUCUAACUGACGCUGAGGCACGAAAGCGUGGGUAGCAAACAGGAUUAGAUACCCGGGUAGUC
Molecule: ribosomal RNA, 461 nt
Filed under: uncultured bacterium
Lineage: Bacteria
Description: partial 16S ribosomal RNA
Rfam family: Bacterial small subunit ribosomal RNA
Source: RNAcentral